GUUAGGAUGUGAAACACACAUUAUACUAUCAGCUGUGUCAGAGUUGUUGAACUUGAAGGUCGAGUUUAAUAUGACACUCAAUUGUUAUGAUAGGAUGGUAAUAAAAAUAAAAAAAAUACUAUCGAAGGAUGAGAAGCUUGUUGAGAGCUUCCAUGUUCGAAAAAAAUGGUGAAAAGAUUGGGCAUGAGAUAUGAGAAGAUAGAUGUAUACUGUAAUGGUUGCCUAUUUUUUCAUAAAGAGGACCAAC
RNAcentral lists this long non-coding RNA (247 nucleotides) under Elaeis guineensis (African oil palm). RNAcentral's name for it is "long non-coding RNA (EGUI_LNC003845)". Lineage: Eukaryota; Viridiplantae; Streptophyta; Magnoliopsida; Arecales; Arecaceae. The record is from RNAcentral.